This 575-nucleotide long non-coding RNA is filed under the name Vigna radiata. RNAcentral describes it as "long non-coding RNA (VRAD_LNC014436)". Lineage: Eukaryota; Viridiplantae; Streptophyta; Magnoliopsida; Fabales; Fabaceae. The record is from RNAcentral.
UUCAAUUUUCCAACAAUAAGAACCCAAUUGAGAAAAAGAAAAAAUGAGGGACCUAAUUGAAAAAAAUCACCGAUAAUAGGAACUAUCAAAAUGAUUAAACCUAAUUUUUUAUACUUUUAAUUUAAAACCCUAAUUUCUUACCCUCACUUUGUAGAACACACCCACCCUCUCCUCUCUUCUCCUUCUCUUUUCCAUUUCCGUCAUCCAUUCUCACACCCACUUACCCCCCUCUUCUUCUUCUCUUUCCGAUUUCCGUCACUUACCCUCACACCCAACUUCCUCUCUCUUCUCCUUCUCUUUCCCAUUUUCGUUACCUAUCCUCACAGAUUUCUUUCUUCAGCUUCUUUUCCCCAUAUUUGUUCUGUCACCCACCCCCACAGACUUCUCUCUUUCUUAUUCCUUCUCCUUCCCAUUUUAGUUUCUCUCUUUUGUAGUCUCGUUUUGUCCUUUCUCUUUGGCCAUUGCUUUCAUUUUCUUUCCUUCCAUUGCUCGUGCCUUGAAGGACUUGUGCUUGGUUCGUGCUGUGGAAGGUGCUUCAUUCGCACUUGAUUUUCUUCAAUCCAAAUUAGUUUCUU